This 293-nucleotide unclassified non-coding RNA is filed under the name uncultured fungus. RNAcentral's name for it is "partial contains small subunit ribosomal RNA, internal transcribed spacer 1, and 5.8S ribosomal RNA". The stretch from base 1 to 73 matches the Rfam family "Eukaryotic small subunit ribosomal RNA", at positions 1759 to 1831 of the family's 1831-position model. The record is from RNAcentral. Lineage: Eukaryota; Fungi.
GCAAACUUGGUCAUUUAGAGGAAGUACAAGUCGUAACAAGGUUUCCGUAGGUGAACCUGCGGAAGGAUCAUUAACAAAUCGUGUAUGUGUGUGUGUAUGAUUGAUUGUAUGAGUUUGUGCAUGUAUGAUAUAUAUGCACAAACAUACAUAUAUACAUACAUAUAUGUGCGCCAGCAUCAUGCUGGAAUGCAAAUAUUCAUGAUAUAGUGUGAUAAUGAGUGUGAAGAAUUCGAAAUCCAAAAUAUACUUUUAACAAUGGAUCUCUUGGCUCUUGCAUCGAUGAAGAACGCAGC